UACGGGGGGGGCGAGCGUUGUUCGGAAUUACUGGGCGUAAAGGGUGCGUAGGCGGCUUUCUAAGUCGGAUGUGAAAACUCUGGGCUCAACCCAGAGCCUGCAUCUGAAACUGGAGAGCUAGGGUUUUGGAGGGGAAAGCGGAAUUCCAGGUGUAGCGGUGAAAUGCGUAGAUAUCUGGAGGAACACCGGUGGCGAAGGCGGCAUCCUGGACCGGUAUUGACGCUGAGGCGCGAAAGCUAGGGGAGCAAACGGG
RNAcentral lists this ribosomal RNA (253 nucleotides) under uncultured bacterium. RNAcentral describes it as "partial 16S ribosomal RNA". It matches the Rfam family "Bacterial small subunit ribosomal RNA", at positions 524 to 776 of the family's 1533-position model. The record is from RNAcentral.